RNAcentral lists this ribosomal RNA (433 nucleotides) under uncultured bacterium. Its description in RNAcentral is "partial 16S ribosomal RNA". It matches the Rfam family "Bacterial small subunit ribosomal RNA", at positions 29 to 507 of the family's 1533-position model. The record is from RNAcentral.
AACGAACGCUGGCGGCAUGCCUAACACAUGCAAGUCGAACGGAACCUUCGGGUCUAGGGGCGGUCGGGUGCGUAACGCGUGGGAACCUGCCCGUAGGUUCGGAAUAACUGCCCUAAAGGGAUGCUAAGAACGGUGAGUGUCAUCGGAGCAAAGACUUAUUGCCGUUGGAUGGGCGCGGGUUAGAUUAGCUGGUUGGGAGGGUAAAAGCAUACCAACGCGACGAUCGAUAGCUGGUCUGAGAGGAUGAUCAGUCACACUGGGACUGAGACACGGCCCAGACUCCUACGGGAGGCAGCAGUGGGGAAUAUUGGACGAGGGGCGAAAGCCUGAUACAGCCAUGCGGCGUGAGUGAUGCAGGCCUUAGGGUUGUAAAGCUCUUUUACACGGGAUGAUAAUGACAGUACCGGGAGAAUAAGCUCCGGCUAACUACGUG